This is a non-coding RNA of Sphagnurus paluster, 92 nucleotides long. NCBI's taxonomy places the organism in Eukaryota, Fungi, Basidiomycota, Agaricomycetes, Agaricales, Lyophyllaceae. The record is from the annotation of a GenBank genome assembly.
GCCCGUAUAGCUCAGUUGGUAGAGCAUUGUACUUAUGAGGUUAACCUAAACACCCUAUGCAGUUGUCUGGAGUUCGAGCCUCCAUAUGGGCA